RNAcentral lists this long non-coding RNA (1806 nucleotides) under Homo sapiens (human). RNAcentral's name for it is "HSALNT0115074". Lineage: Eukaryota; Metazoa; Chordata; Mammalia; Primates; Hominidae. The record is from RNAcentral.
UUAUUUCAAAAUUUAGGAAACUUCUCAAAAUAUUUUAAUACAAAAAUAAUGUUAACUUUUACAAAAAUAGCUUAGGGAAAUUGGACCAGGUGCAGUGGAUCAUGCUUGUAAUCCCAACACUUCGAGAGGCGAGGUGGGCAGAUCGCCUGAGGUCAGGAGUUUGAGACCAGCCUGGCCAAAAUGGUGAGACUAAAAAUACAAAAAUUACUAAAAAUACAAAAUUAGCUGGGCAUGGUGGCAAGCCUGUAAAGCCCAGCUAUUUGGGAGGCUGAAGUGGGAGAAUCGCUUGAACCCAGGAGGUGGAGGUUGCAGUGAGCUGAGAUUGUGCACUCCAGCAUGGGCAACAGAGCAAGACUCCAUCUCAAAAAAAAAAAAAAAAAAAAAAAAAAAAAAAAAGGCCACGCGCAGUGGCUCACACCUGUAAUCCCAACACUUUGGGAGGCCGAGGUGGGCAGACCACGAGGUCAGGAGUUCGACACCAGCCUGGCCAACAUAGUGAAACCCCGUCGCUACUAAAAAAAAUUAGCUGGGCGUGCUGGCACACGCCUGUAGUCCCAGCUACUCGGGAGGCUGAGGUAGGAGAAUCGCUUGAACCCAGGAGGCAGAGGCUGCAGCGAGCCAAGAUAGUGCCACUGCACUCCAGCCCGGGCAACAGUGUGAGACUCCAUCUCAAAAAAAAAAAAAAAAAAGCUCAGGAAAAUAGUGUACGGGCUUUUUUUUUUAAAGGUGCUCUUUCAUUUUCAUAGUCAUUUCAUAUGACCAAAUACUCAAAAUCCAAAUGAAUCAAAAGAGUUCUUACAUAUAAACAAAACAGUUCUACAGAUGAAACUAGAGAUCUUGAUAAAUCUGUAAAUAUAUGAUCUAGAGAUUUGUGUAUAGAAAAAGAAAUCAGAACCAUGAACUGCAAUCUGUGAGACCACAGCUUUAACUUUUUUUCUGCCAGGGAGGUGGAAAGAUGAGGAAAAACAGGGGGGUGAGAGGAGGGACAGACAGAAGCAUGCCUCAGAGGUUCUGAGGGCCCCCUAGCACAGCACAGUACUAUAUGGGAACUGAAAGUUAGAUUUUACUCUAUUUUCUCUCCCAGCAAGCAAAGGGCCGUUUCACAGAGAUUCCUGACUGAAACAACACAAAGUCAGUUAAAAAGAUGAAGCUGGGGCUGGGCAUGAUUACAUAAAUUUUGAGAGCUUGAUUUGGCCUUUAAUAAAACCAAAUCUGUAGAAAAAAUCUCAUUUCAACAUGAUCUCACUAGACUGAAACUUUUUGAAAUGUUUUCAUUGUUGCCCUUCAUAUUAUGUAAAGGAAUCAUGUCUAUUAAGGAAAAUGACAUAAGGAAAUGUUUUAGAAAUUAUGAAUACUAAAGAUUAAGGAGACUUUUCUUGCCUGUAACCUGUACACACACACACACACACACACACACACAUCUUACAGAAAAAAAAACUCUUAGGCCUAGCUAAAAUCCAUUAUUUCCGUUUCUACCCAUUUAUUCAUGCUCCCUUAAAGCCCAUUCCUGUUUAUUCAACAUUCUACAAUUUUAAUUCAUAAACAUGUAAAGUCCAAGAGCAGUGCUUGAACAAUGCUGAAGGCAUAGCACUGUCUGUACUAAUCAGGUGGCACUUAAGUUUGUCUUGUCAUAUUUAUAUAAUUGUCUCCUCAAACAGACUUCACACUUUUGAGAGUAAGGGCCCUUUUCUAUUCCCAAAACCAAACAUAGAGACUCAUAUAUAGUAAAAUGUUGGUAAUGGCUAUGAAAGACACAGACCAGUGGAUACAUUUAAGAAUUAACUUCAGUUGUAAGGAAUAUCUGAC